UACGAAGGCCUGCGACGAGGGCCCCUGCUGGGGCACCGGCCUAGUCGCGGCGGCCGCCGCCGCCGCUUCCACUCCCACUUCCACGACAAGAAGCGGGCGCGCGCCCUAGACUGCCCGCAGCGCCUCAGGAGGCACCUCCACGGGAGGCCCUCGUGGCGCCCCCUCACGGAGCCGGCCCACGACCGGAGCAAGGGGUUCGACCUGCUCUAGGCGGCGAGGUACCACGAGCGCGAGUUGCUCCUCAUGCGCGGGCUCAGGCGGGGGCAGCGGCUGCCCCUGCUCGAGCGGUAGUAGGGCGGCUAGUCGCCGCCGACUGGCUCCGACUUUUACUUCUUUUUCCCUCUUUCUUUCUUUCUGUUUGUCUCACCUCUUUCUUCUUCGCGACCUUAACCUAUUCGAGCCUCUGUUCGUUAUUUCGCCUUUUCCGUGGGCUGCGCUGGUUGAUGAUGGUGACGUGACGUGAGGUAACCUGACGGGGUGAGGUGUGGGGGCACGAGGAGGGAGUAGUGGGAGGAGAGGAGCGGGGAAAGGUAUCGGUGGAAGGAGAGGAGUGAGAGAGUGAGUGGGGGCGAGGACGGAAAUAUUGGGCGGAGAUGAGGUGGUGGAGUGUCGGGUGUCGAGUGUUGUGUGGGUGGCGGCGGCGACGGAGUCGAAGGGGAAGGGCCUCGUCGGUUGGUCGCUCGUUCCCUCCCUGUCUUGUUACCUCCCCUUCCUCCUCCUGCACGCCGACCCGCGGUUGUCCAUGAGCCUCGCCGUCGGGUAGCCCUGCCGCCGCGUCCCGCCGCCGCUGCUGUUCCUGAUGUUCCUCGGCGGGGGGCGCGGCGAGAAGCUCGGGCCCCUCGAGUUCAGGACCAGGAAGAUGGCGCGGCCGUAGCGGCUCAAGUAGCGGUGGAAGGAGAAGGAGAUGCAGUGGCAAGAGUGGCAGUACCCUCAGAGGUUCAGGGGGAGGUUCACGCGGUGGCAGCCGCAGGUCCCGUAGCGGACCAGGAAGCCGCCGUACUAGAAGCGCGAGCAGAUGACGUGGCGGCCGUAGAGUCCUCCCGUGUAGUUGGGUCGCCACUGAAAACCCGACAAGAACCGGUCCUUCGACAGGGACUGGUCCCGGUAGAAGAUGUAUUAAUACGUUACGGAUCCCCGGUAGACACCUCGACCUCACCACUUCCCGAAGGUCGUCCCAGACAUAUACCCGUUGCCACCGCCGCGGUUACAUCAGCGGUCACCGAUGUGGUUCCCGCUGCCGGAACCACGACUCUAGUAACCGUGGAAGCAGGACCAGAUGUGGCAGAAGAGCCGGUGGCUACGGUUCUCCUUACGGUCUCUGAGGGUACAAGGAUAGGACCGGGGAGACGGCUAACCCAAGCGCCACAAGGACCAGGUGGACCGGUGGUAGGGGUAGUGACCGUGGCCGUAGUUGGGUCGCUCCUCGGAACCCCGACGAUAGUAGAUGUUGUCCCUGGUACGGACCUUGCUGGUAACCUAGAAGACCCACCCGGGGAAGCACCCGCGACGGGACCGCCGGCAGAUGGUGGUCCACUAGUAGUCUCGCUAAGGCAAGUUGUUCUCGUCCAGGAUUCGGCGGAGCGGAGACGAUGUCUUUCGGCUAGCCCUUAUUGCUCGAAGAAACACUACAGGACAAAGCUCGCGGAUCAUAGCGUAGGCGGCAGCUAAUAGGUAGAGCUAGAGGACUUCUACAAUAGAGGACGGACUUAGGUCUGAGCGCACAUAAUUCUGAGGUCACACUGUCAACCCACACGAGAAUAACAGCACCUUCUAAAUUCAAUAUUGGACAAACAACGACACGAAAGGUAAAUCGAUGAGGGCAACAACGUAAACCUUACAACUGUUGUCAAGACUACUAUUCUAAUAGGACCUACAAUCGGUUGGAAAAUAUUUGAUUUCGUUUCCGUUUGUCUUUAUUG
Molecule: ribosomal RNA, 1919 nt
Filed under: Triticum aestivum (bread wheat)
Lineage: Eukaryota; Viridiplantae; Streptophyta; Magnoliopsida; Poales; Poaceae
Description: partial small subunit ribosomal RNA
Source: RNAcentral